RNAcentral lists this microRNA precursor (89 nucleotides) under Canis lupus familiaris (dog). RNAcentral's name for it is "mir-8799 microRNA precursor family". It matches the Rfam family "mir-8799 microRNA precursor family". Lineage: Eukaryota; Metazoa; Chordata; Mammalia; Carnivora; Canidae. The record is from Rfam by way of RNAcentral. RNAcentral also lists the same sequence under 1 other name.
GGGGGGAGGCCGUAUCAUGGGCUGUGUCCCGGCGCCCAGUUCUCCCGGUCUGCGCUGUUGGAUUCGCGCUCCCAGCCGGGCAGCCCCCU